GAAUAUUGCACAAUGGAGGAAACUCUGAUGCAGCGACGCCGCGUGAGUGAUGAAGGACUUCGGUUCGUAAAGCUCUGUCGUAUGGGAAUAAGAACGUGAAUGUACCAUGCAAGAAAGGAUCGGCUAACUUCGUGCCAGCAGCCGCGGUAAGACGAGGGAUCCUAGCGUUGUUCGGAAUCAUUGGGCGUAAAGCGGAUGUAGGUGGCUUUGUAAGUCAGAUGUGAAAGCCCAGGGCUCAACCCUGGAAGUGCAUUUGAUACUGCGAAGCUUGAGUGCUAGAGAGGUUACUAGAAUUCCUGGUGUAGUGGUGAAAUACGUAGAUAUCAGGAGGAAUACCGGAGGCGAAGGCGGGUAACCAGCUAGACACUGACACUCAGAUCCGAAAGUGUGGGGAUCAAACAG
RNAcentral lists this ribosomal RNA (402 nucleotides) under uncultured bacterium. RNAcentral describes it as "bacterial SSU rRNA". It matches the Rfam family "Bacterial small subunit ribosomal RNA", at positions 359 to 775 of the family's 1533-position model. The record is from RNAcentral.